This 373-nucleotide unclassified non-coding RNA is filed under the name plant metagenome. Its description in RNAcentral is "partial contains 5.8S ribosomal RNA, internal transcribed spacer 2, and large subunit ribosomal RNA". The stretch from base 1 to 105 matches the Rfam family "5.8S ribosomal RNA", at positions 50 to 154 of the family's 154-position model. The record is from RNAcentral.
AAAGUGCGAUAAGCAAUGCGAAUUGCAGAAUUCCGCGAAUCAUCAGAUCCUUGAACGCAACUGGCGCUAGGAGGCUCCCCUCCUAGCAUGUCUGUUUCAGUGUCUGAAAACAUCACAAACUUAUCUUAAUGUAGUUGACUUCAGAAAGCGUUUAUCAUGCUUUCCUUCGAGGUCUUCUAUUAAAGAUGUACAUGUGGGUCUUUGGACCCCUCAUCGGAUUGGUCAUCGUUCUACGGUGAUUUCGAUAGGGCGUUUACAAUUACCUGUAUACAUGUAGAACCAAUACGGUCUCUUAGUUUUUUAAUUAAAACACUAGCCGUACUCUUUCAACUCUGCAUCUGAAAUCAGACAAGAUCACCCGCUGAACUUAAGC